This 306-nucleotide long non-coding RNA is filed under the name Calidris pugnax (ruff). RNAcentral describes it as "lncRNA (ENSCPUG00000006734.1)". Lineage: Eukaryota; Metazoa; Chordata; Aves; Charadriiformes; Scolopacidae. The record is from RNAcentral.
UGGUCUUGGUAACCUUGCUAGCCUCUUCGUGAAACUGUAGAAGCAUAACUCCUAACAGAUAUUUUUACCUCCUGAUGCUUUCAGCCUCCUGUCUCACAGCAGUGUAGCUUCAGUUCUGGAAGGCUCAAGAUAUGAAGUCUCUAACAGUCCCUGUUCUUCCACAUUGCUGGAAUGAGAAAGGUAUUCAGCAACGACACAGAGAUUGUUUUCCUUUAUGCAUGCCAGAAAUGGUGUCAACCAGCAGAGGAGACUGAGGUGAUACCUGCAUCUUCUUCAGUUACUGGUGGCUUCAUGCAAGGUCUCUGA